This is a long non-coding RNA of Ornithodoros turicata, 691 nucleotides long. RefSeq lists it as uncharacterized. The record is from RefSeq and is a predicted model, not a curated record. NCBI's taxonomy places the organism in Eukaryota, Metazoa, Arthropoda, Arachnida, Ixodida, Argasidae. The transcript has 4 exons.
UUUAGUAAGUUUAUUUCUUGUCCAGCGUCGUGCGUAUGUUUUCUUGCAAUAUGUCGGUCAACUGGACAGUUCCGGCAUCCUGUCCAUACGCAAUGAGCGAUAUCGUUAAGCGUAACAACGAGGGCUGCUGUAGCGGGGAGGCAACGUCCCUUAUUUGUUCUCUGUACUUCAGGUUUCAGGGAAUGAUGUUGCGAAUGAGUGACGAGCACAAUGGAGAUGUGGGACUGACCUAAAUGUGUUAACAAGAUUGUCGUUUGGUUACGUUCGAUGCUGUCUGUUCAGUGUACUGGCGACGAACAAUAUGGAGAUAUGGGACUGACGUAUGUGUGUGUUAAGAUUCAAUCGUUUGGAUACGUUGUUGGCUCGGGUACCUCUUGGAUUUACGUCUUUAUUAUCUUUAUAGGUGCUGGCAGAGUCAUGGAAUGAAGGUCACGAUUACAACGCCUGGCCUGUAAGCCAUUUGUUGGCACUUCAGCUGGGCUGGAGCUACGAUCACAUUUUAGGUGCUUCCAGGCUCAUGGAUUGGAGGUGACGAAUACAACGCCUGUCCUGUGGGUCAUUUGUUGGCACUUCGGCUUAGCUGCAGCUACGAUCCAAUUUCAGUGUACCUCGGAAACGUUCCUUCCUGCUACCCACAGCCGUCUACCACCCCACACGUGUGUAAAGCACUGGUUGCCUUUGGAGCACUCAA